Molecule: long non-coding RNA, 429 nt
Organism: Gossypium raimondii (Peruvian cotton)
Lineage: Eukaryota; Viridiplantae; Streptophyta; Magnoliopsida; Malvales; Malvaceae
Exons: 2
Source: RefSeq, a predicted model, not a curated record
ACUAGUGUCACGGGCCGCAGUUCAAAGCCCGUGACCAUCGCACCAAAUGCAUCCAAUGGAGGUCUAUUGCUCAGAUGGGGAUCAUUUGGCCCACGAGAACUGGCCCGAUUCAAUGAGCAAUUGGAGGAGCCUGUCAGAUUGAAGCCCGGUUGGCCCGAUAACGAAGAGAUUCAGGCUGAUAUAGUAACUAAUCUUAGAAGAUAGAGGGAAUCUUAUCUUGUAAAGAUUAGAUUGGAUUUGAUAAGGCUUAUCUUGUAAAUCCCUAAAAUAAAGGGAUAUAGUUAAUCUCGUCCGUCGAUGUAAUUGUAUCUUGACCGUCGGUUUUGGGGGAGCUCAACUAUAAAUAGAGAGCCUCCCCCUCAUUUGUACUGAUUCCAUUGUAUUCUGAAUUCUUAAGAGUAAUAAGAGUUCUGAGAGCAUUUACUCAAA